Non-coding RNA from Ceratotherium simum simum (southern white rhinoceros), 129 nucleotides. Lineage: Eukaryota; Metazoa; Chordata; Mammalia; Perissodactyla; Rhinocerotidae. The record is from RefSeq and is a predicted model, not a curated record.
UACGGGUGUCAGUGUCGUUCACGGACGUGACUGUGGAGUUCACCGGGAGGAGUGGCGGCAGGUGGACUCUGCACAGAGGACCCUGUACAGAGACGUGACGAUGCUGGAGAGCUACAGCCACCUCGUCUC